RNAcentral lists this ribosomal RNA (254 nucleotides) under uncultured bacterium. Its description in RNAcentral is "partial 16S ribosomal RNA". It matches the Rfam family "Bacterial small subunit ribosomal RNA", at positions 524 to 776 of the family's 1533-position model. The record is from RNAcentral.
UACGUAGGGCGCAAGCGUUGUCCGGAAUUAUUGGGCGUAAAGAGCUCGUAGGCGGUUCAGUAAGUCGGGUGUGAAAACUUUGGGCUUAACCCAAAGCGUGCAUCUGAUACUGCUGUGACUUGAGUUCGGUAGGGGAGAGGGGAAUUCCUAGUGUAGCGGUGAAAUGCGCAGAUAUUAGGAGGAACACCGGUGGCGAAGGCGCCACUCUGGGCCGAAACUGACGCUGAGGAGCGAAAGCAUGGGUAGCAAACAGG